This 84-nucleotide transfer RNA is filed under the name Capsicum annuum. It matches the Rfam family "tRNA". From Rfam's summary of the family: Transfer RNA (tRNA) molecules are approximately 80 nucleotides in length. Their secondary structure includes four short double-helical elements and three loops (D, anti-codon, and T loops). Further hydrogen bonds mediate the characteristic L-shaped molecular structure. tRNAs have two regions of fundamental functional importance: the anti-codon, which is responsible for specific mRNA codon recognition, and the 3' end, to which the tRNAs corresponding amino acid is attached (by aminoacyl-tRNA synthetases). tRNAs cope with the degeneracy of the genetic code in two manners: having more than one tRNA (with a specific anti-codon) for a particular amino acid; and 'wobble' base-pairing, i.e. permitting non-standard base-pairing at the 3rd anti-codon position. The record is from Rfam by way of RNAcentral. Lineage: Eukaryota; Viridiplantae; Streptophyta; Magnoliopsida; Solanales; Solanaceae.
GUCAGGAUGGCCGAGUGUUCUAAGGUGCCAGACUCAAGUCCUGGACCUCGUGAAAUGGCAUGGGUUCAAAUCCAACUUCUGACA